CCCAAUGUAAUUUAGUGGUUUAAAUGCUGGACCUGGAUUCCAGGAGACCAGGGUUCAAAUCUCUACUUAGCCU
Molecule: non-coding RNA, 73 nt
Organism: Phrynosoma platyrhinos (Desert horned lizard)
Lineage: Eukaryota; Metazoa; Chordata; Lepidosauria; Squamata; Phrynosomatidae
Source: the annotation of a GenBank genome assembly